Molecule: unclassified non-coding RNA, 270 nt
Filed under: uncultured fungus
Lineage: Eukaryota; Fungi
Description: partial contains small subunit ribosomal RNA, internal transcribed spacer 1, and 5.8S ribosomal RNA
Rfam family: Eukaryotic small subunit ribosomal RNA (bases 1-73)
Source: RNAcentral
GCAAACUUGGUCAUUUAGAGGAAGUAAAAGUCGUAACAAGGUUUCCGUAGGUGAACCUGCGGAAGGAUCAUUACUGUAACUGUCGAGGGCUGGCUCUGCUGGCCCGCACGACAUUACCCCUGUUUUUGUGCACUCUUGUUUCCUCGACAGGCUUGCCUGUCGAUAGGACUACUUUACAUCACCUUAUGUAGUAAUUCGCGUCAGAAAAACAUAAUAUUUACAACUUUCAACAACGGAUCUCUUGGUUCUGGCAUCGAUGAAGAACGCAGC